AGAUACCGUCGUAGUCCUAACUAUAAACGAUGUCAACCAAGGAUUGGAUGAAAUUCAGAUGUACAAAGAUAGAGAAGCAUUGUUUCUAGAUCUGAGUAUAUCAAUAUUACCUUGUUCAGAACUUAAAGAGAAAUCUUGAGUUUAUGGACUUCAGGGGGAGUAUGGUCACAAGGCUGAAACUUAAAGGAAUUGACGGAAGGGCACACCAGGAGUGGAGCCUGCGGCUUAAUUUGACUCAACACGGGAAAACUUA
RNAcentral lists this ribosomal RNA (253 nucleotides) under Entamoeba histolytica. RNAcentral's name for it is "partial 18S ribosomal RNA". It matches the Rfam family "Eukaryotic small subunit ribosomal RNA", at positions 1010 to 1217 of the family's 1831-position model. Lineage: Eukaryota; Evosea; Mastigamoebida; Endamoebidae. The record is from RNAcentral.